RNAcentral lists this ribosomal RNA (253 nucleotides) under uncultured bacterium. RNAcentral describes it as "partial 16S ribosomal RNA". It matches the Rfam family "Bacterial small subunit ribosomal RNA", at positions 524 to 776 of the family's 1533-position model. The record is from RNAcentral.
UACGUAGGGAGCAAGCGUUGUCCGGAAUCAUUGGGCGUAAAGCGCGCGUAGGUGGCCUCAUAAGUCCGUUGUGAAAGUCAAAGGCUCAACCUUUGAAAGCCGAUGGAUACUGUGAGACUAGAGUACGGAAGAGGCGAGUGGAAUUCCUGGUGUAGCGGUGGAAUGCGCAGAUAUCAGGAGGAACACCAAUAGCGAAGGCAGCUCGCUGGGACGUUACUGACACUGAGGCGCGAAAGCGUGGGGAGCGAACAGG